CAGGGAGACGAGCGAAGGAGUAGGAAGCCGAUCCACGCUGACCAAUUUUUUUCUUUAAACUAAAAUAAGUUGAUGCUGAGUCUACUUGCUUUGUUUGUGUAAAGCACCGUACAUUGGACCAGAGGAAUCCAGUCUCUUUGGACCCGGUUGGUGAACUUUGAAGUACUCCAAAAGAGAUUCUGGCUGCUAUCCAGAAGAGGGCCUGUCCUCCCGCGUUGACUCCAGUUCCUGCCUCGUGUGCGUCGGCUGUGCUGACCUGCUAACCACGUGUGGAGCCACUGUAACAUCUACUGCUCUCCAAGUUGAAGGAUUCGUGAGACAGAAGACAGAGCGGAGUGGGACAGUAGAGAUCUGUGGGAAAGGGUACAAGAACGGAAACAGGGGAAAUGUGGCUGAAGAAUCAUUAGAUUCCAAUCCAAUUGUAGCCUCCAGAGGGAGAGCGGAGUAGAGGAGGAGCAGGAAAUGAGGAGGGGAACAUCAAACACAACAGGAACCCACAGAGUGCUCCGUGUCCUUGUGUGCAGCUGAAGCUCUGCUCAAGGGAACGAGGGCUCCGUGCAUUAUUCCUGGUGUUCUGUUUUGCUGAAAUCAAGGCCGUUCAUUGGAGAGGGACUGCAGGUUUAGGGCCAUGUGUGCAAACACAUAAAAGGAAAGAAACUGCAGACGGAGAAGAUGGACCUGCAGGAAGAACUGAAAAUCAUGCUGCGCUGUGAUAUGAGGGAGCGGUUUGUUCCCCGUAACAAGGAGUUAGGGAAGUCAUUUGAAACCGGUGGAGAGCUGCACGUGGGGUACAGUCUUUAAUUGAGGUAAGGAAAAUGUGCAUCAGUAGUGUUGUGAAGAGCAGAGGGCGAUCUUCAGAGGCCAAUUAAUUUGGAAUACAAAACAGUGGUGCAAUCUGCUCAGGUUUCCGCCCGGGUCCACGGCUACCUCGCACCAGCUCUGUCAUGAAGGCAUUCAAGAUCAAAUUAAUUUAAAUAGCAGCCCAAGCAGCACCCCCAACUCCCAAAGCGCUCCCACCGCUUCUCUUUUGUCCCCUUAGCUGCAACUCUGAACUCUAGAAAUCAAAAUAGCUCCCUGCACGACAAAAGCUACCACACACUGUCUCUCCAUCACUACCUCUCACAGAGAAACCCACUUUGUGUCUCUCAACUUAAAUAAAAAUAGCAUGACUCCUCAGACUGCUGUCUGUGUGUCCAGCAGGGAGAAAAGCACCUAUUCCUGGAUCUGCUCAACCGACUCCAUCUCUGCACUGACACACAAAGGGAAUCACCACACUUGUGCACUCCAGAGGACAGCAGCCGUACACUGGUGCUGCUGCUGCUUGGUCAUUUUUUAUGAUUUCGCAGCAUUUGAGCAGGGUGACUUUAACAUGACAAAUUAUGGCCAGGGAGAUCCUUAAAAUACCUUCUGGAUUUGCACACACUUUCUUUCUUGGACGUAUGUUUAUGGAUUUUCCAUAGUCGUACGAGCCUCCCGCUUUAAUCUAGUCAAAGCCAUGAUAAAUGCAGUGCACCUGUGAGGUUGAAAAUCUGGAAAAGAAAAUUAUGAUGCAUGUCUCUGCUGUUGAAGGCUGAGGUAAGGGAGAGAGAUAAGGAAAAGAGGAGAAACCUAAUUGUGGAAGAGGAGAGGGUUGCAGAAGUGAGGUCCUCAGGAAGAUGGUUAAUUUAUAAGACCUGUGGUGGAGGUAAUGUGACAGGCCGAGUAAUGGUUAGAAGUAGUUUGAAGGAUUCUUUUGUCUUUUUGGUCACACAGUUCGGUUUCCUCUUUUACUGUCUCUCUUGCACAGAAGACAUUCUUGUUUUUUCCCUCUCUAGAUAAAUCAGACCUAAUCAAUGUGCCCGUAUAGUAUUUGCCUUCUAAUAAAGGAUGUGGGUUUCACUUGUGUCCUGUUUGCGCUACAGCUUGAGGUCAUUUACCUGCAGAAACAGAAGGAGAACAAAGGGCAGGAUUCAAAAAUUCUGCAUUAGAAUUCUGUUCAACUUUACAGCUUUAUUCUCUGCUUAACCUCCAUAUUUAUUCAUGAUAAACCUGACAACAAACCCUCUGUUUCUUUGUUGAAGUCACCCCUGCUCUCCUUCCCUUUUCUCCCCUUUCUUCUGCCGCGCUCUAUCUGUACUUCAUUUCCAAUGCAGGGAGCAUAGCCGAAGCCAUAGACUUGUGCGUGGAAACACCCAGCAGACAAGAAAAAUGACGGCCGGCGCAAUCUCAUUUUCUGAGGGGCUGCAAGUCAGGCAGGAAAUGGCUAUUAUUCCAUCGACACUGUCGGUAUUAAGUUAUUUCCUUCUCUAAAUACGAGAACAUUCAUGAAUAUCUAUUGAGUUCCAGGUGCAAGCGCAAGAGGUUUUGUCGCCACACACUCGGAUGAUUGCAGCCCUAUAUUCUCCCUGCUGCACCCUCACUUCUGAGAUUGAAGUGAAAGACAAUGGUAGUGGAAAUUGGCUAAUAAAUCCAGAGGAGGCAAAGGGCUGUUUGAGCAAUACCGCAAGCUCGUGCAUGCUUUUUAAGUAGGAUAAAAACUCCUGGUUUCCUCUCAACCUCAUCCUUUUCUCGAGGAGGUGACUGGGGCUAAGAGGCUAAAUCUCCAUCAAAAGGCCCACGCCACUUUGCUUUUGUUGGUAGGAAGACAGCUUUGCAAUGCCAUCACAAGCAUGCAGGACAUAUCAGCAUUUGUCCAUAUUUCAGUGGAGGGAGAUGAUGCAUUUCUGCUUAUGCAUAUGCUAGGAACAGUAGAACGGAACGGGGAGAGCUCAUGACAGAACGAAGAUCCAUUUGCAUUUGUUCGCCAUGUGCUUUUCUCACCUUGCUGUGUUUAUCAUGAGUCUGAGCCAUAUAGCUGCCAGUCAUGCGCAUAGAGAGGGAGGUGAAAGGACAGAGAAGAAAUAGAACAAAAAAAAACUGCAGGAUGAUGAGCAGUGGAAAACCUUAGAUUUGAGUGACCUACUGCCUUCCAUCGCACGGUGACUCUGAAGAAAAAGAGAGAGCAGGAGCUCCGCUUACAUGUGUCCAGUUCUCAUGGAGCGGCUCACAGUGGAGAGGAGACGGGGCAGAAUUGAUUGAAGGCGGUGGACCAUAAAUGAAAGCAUUGAUUUUGGGGUCACAGUUGCAGGAGGAGGUCCUGAAAUAAAUUGAAAUAAACAUAUCAAUACAUCAAGUAUAUUACACUAUGAGCACACAUGCACUCUCA
Molecule: long non-coding RNA, 3184 nt
Organism: Oryzias melastigma (Indian medaka)
Lineage: Eukaryota; Metazoa; Chordata; Actinopteri; Beloniformes; Adrianichthyidae
Exons: 6
Source: RefSeq, a predicted model, not a curated record